UAAAAAUGUAAUUUUUAAAACUAAAUAAUUAAUAGUUAUGGUCUUUAAAGUUAAAUAAUUUGGCGGUAUUUUAGUCUUUUCAGAGGAACCUGUUCUGUAAAUGAUAAUCCACGAUUAAAUUGUCUUAAAUUAGAAAUUUAUAUAUCAUCGUUAUUAAAUAUUUUUUUAGAAUUAAAUAUUUAUUAAAUAAUAUUUUAUUAUAAUUCAGAUCAUGGUAUAGUUUAUAUUUAAGUAGAAAUGGGUUACAAUAUUAAUAAAUUUAGAUUUUAAUUUUAAAAGUUAAUUGAAAUUGGAUUUGAAAGUAAUUAUUUUUUAAAGAUAAUGAUUAAGCUCUAAAAUAUGC
Molecule: ribosomal RNA, 343 nt
Filed under: Scymnini sp. CO826
Lineage: Eukaryota; Metazoa; Arthropoda; Insecta; Coleoptera; Coccinellidae
Description: partial 12S ribosomal RNA
Source: RNAcentral